RNAcentral lists this ribosomal RNA (931 nucleotides) under Proteus mirabilis. RNAcentral describes it as "partial 23S ribosomal RNA". It matches the Rfam family "Bacterial large subunit ribosomal RNA", at positions 1 to 965 of the family's 2925-position model. Lineage: Bacteria; Pseudomonadati; Pseudomonadota; Gammaproteobacteria; Enterobacterales; Morganellaceae. The record is from RNAcentral.
GGGUUGUGAGGUUAAGCGAAUAAGCGUACACGGUGGAUGCCUAGGCAAUCAGAGGCGAUGAAGGACGUGCUAAUCUGCGAAAAGCGUCGGUAAGGUGAUAUGAACCGUUAUACCCGACGAUAUCCGAAUGGGGAAACCCAGUAUCCAAUGGAUACUAUCAUUAACUGAAUCCAUAGGUUAAUGAGGCGAACCGGGAGAACUGAAACAUCUCAGUACCCCGAGGAAAAGAAAUCAACCGAGAUUCCCCUAGUAGCGGCGAGCGAACGGGGAGCAGCCCAGAGUCUUAAUCAAUAGCAGUGUCAGGAGAACGGUCUGGAAAGUCCGGCAGUAAAGGGUGAUAGCCCCGUAUCUGAAGAUGCUGUUAUUGUGAACUCGACGAGUAGGGCGGGACACGUGUUAUCCUGUCUGAAUAUGGGGGGACCAUCCUCCAAGGCUAAAUACUCCUGAUUGACCGAUAGUGAACCAGUACCGUGAGGGAAAGGCGAAAAGAACCCCGGCGAGGGGAGUGAAAAAGAACCUGAAACCGUGUACGUACAAGCAGUAGGAGCCUCUUUAUGGGGUGACUGCGUACCUUUUGUAUAAUGGGUCAGCGACUUAUAUUCUGUAGCAAGGUUAACCGUAUAGGGGAGCCGUAGGGAAACCGAGUCUUAACUGGGCGAAUGAGUUGCAGGGUAUAGACCCGAAACCCGGUGAUCUAUCCAUGGGCAGGUUGAAGGUUGGGUAACACUAACUGGAGGACCGAACCGACUAAUGUUGAAAAAUUAGCGGAUGACUUGUGGAUGGGGGUGAAAGGCCAAUCAAACCGGGAGAUAGCUGGUUCUCCCCGAAAGCUAUUUAGGUAGCGCCUCGUGAAUUCAUCUUCGGGGGUAGAGCACUGUUUCGACUAGGGGGUCAUCCCGACUUACCAACUCGAUGCAAACUGCGAAUACCG